AGAAAGACCGUCUAGUCGAUAACAGCAAGGACGCUGACAACAGUCACCCCGCUCGGAACCCGACUGAACCAUUAACUACCUUAGUGAUGCUAGGCAACCCACUGGACCUAGCCGCGCUUCAGAAUCUCCGCCCCUAAAACGGGAUAACAACUGCCUGAACAGGGAUGCUGUAGAGACUGAAUGGGUUGAUAGCGAAAAAGUUAAAACAGCGCCCCAGACACAGGCGCUACGCAGACAGACGGUGUUAACCCUAUUGUCAUCACUAGCUAAGGACACGGGCGCCCGAGAGCAAAGACCACGUUGGCAACACCCACAAUCAGAAGGUGGGCGAGGGCGCCGGGCGGCCAACACCGUCGUCACCACCGGGACCUCGGCCCCCGCCUACGGGCUCAGGGACGCUCGGCUGACGCGGCGAAGGACCGACCGACUACGCGAAAGCCGCGCAGAGCCGGCGAGAGAGGAUGGAAGAAACCCAGGUCCGGCCUCCCAGGCCAGCGGCCGCCCCCGAAGACACUUCAACUCACCGUUCGAGAUGUAAACCAUCUUCGCCCCUUGUUCCAAGCUGCCGGAGCGACUGAGGGGCUUUGCCCCUCUCGGCCUCGGUACCGCCCUCUGCGCCCCGCCCUUGAACGUCACAGACCACGGUUAGACCAACCGGCGACGGAGAAAGGAGGUGGAUGGAACCCAUUGGCUGCUGGGAGGGACACGCACACGACUGCCGUUUUUUGCGUCGUCACGCUGGCGACUUCCCGUAGAGCGAGGGCUGCUGGGCCGGUGACCGGAAGUGACGUUUGGGAUUUAACCCGUAAGCGCGCGCUUGCUUCUCUCCUUUUGGUGUUGAGCUUGAAGAGUUUUCUAGUUGCUUGAUGGGCCCAGCGUCGGGAAGGCGAAGCUCUGCAUGUGCAAUGUCUUGAAGAAGUGCUGGCAGGAGGAAGUCCUGAAAAUAUUCCAGAAGUGGUGUUAUUUGAGGGCCUUUGUACUUGGCUGUCCUACGCGAAGUCCUAAUGGCUGUGACCCUCCCUUCCCCGCCAAGUCCCGAGUGCUCAAGCCGGGUGUCAGCUUGAAAAGAAUGAAGAUACUGGCCUGGCACAGAAAGGCUCUAAGGGCGCCUGGGUGGCGUAAUCGUUAUGCGUCUGCCUUCGGCUCAGGGCAUGAUCCCAACGUUCUGGGAUCGAGCCCCAUAUCAGGCUCCUCCGCUGGGAGCCUGCUUCUUCCUCUCCCACUCCCCCCUGCUUAUGUUCUCUCUCUCACUGUCUGUCUGUCUCUGUCAAAUAAAUAAAUAAAAUCUUAAAAAAAAAAAAAAAGAAAGAAAGAAAAUGUCUUUUUCUUAUUAUUUUGGCCAGAUUCUUUUUAGUUGUCCUCUGAAGG
Molecule: long non-coding RNA, 1368 nt
Filed under: Ursus maritimus (polar bear)
Lineage: Eukaryota; Metazoa; Chordata; Mammalia; Carnivora; Ursidae
Description: lncRNA (ENSUMAG00000020065.1)
Source: RNAcentral